This 497-nucleotide ribosomal RNA is filed under the name uncultured bacterium. RNAcentral describes it as "partial 16S ribosomal RNA". It matches the Rfam family "Bacterial small subunit ribosomal RNA", at positions 28 to 507 of the family's 1533-position model. The record is from RNAcentral.
GAUGAACGCUGGCGGCGUGCCUAAUACAUGCAAGUCGAGCGAACGGACGAGAAGCUUGCUUCUCUGAUGUUAGCGGCGGACGGGUGAGUAACACGUGGAUAACCUACCUAUAAGACUGGGAUAACUUCGGGAAACCGGAGCUAAUACCGGCUAAUAUUUUGAACCGCAUGGUUCAAAAGUGAAAGACGGUCUUGCUGUCACUUAUAGAUGGAUCCGCGCUGCAUUAGCUAGUUGGUAAGGUAACGGCUUACCAAGGCAACGAUGCAUAGCCGACCUGAGAGGGUGAUCGGCCACACUGGAACUGAGACACGGUCCAGACUCCUACGGGAGGCAGCAGUAGGGAAACUUCCGCAAUGGGCGAAAGCCUGACGGAGCAACGCCGCGUGAGUGAUGAAGGUCUUCGGAUCGUAAAACUCUGUUAUUAGGGAAGAACAUAUGUGUAAGUAACUGUGCACAUCUUGACGGUACCUAAUCAGAAAGCCACGGCUAACUACGUG